Molecule: long non-coding RNA, 1737 nt
Organism: Lycium barbarum (goji berry)
Lineage: Eukaryota; Viridiplantae; Streptophyta; Magnoliopsida; Solanales; Solanaceae
Exons: 4
Source: RefSeq, a predicted model, not a curated record
AAAAAUGAAAAUAGAUGAAGAAGGGUUUUCGCUUUUUAAAUUGGAGGGUAAAUAUAAUUUUUGCGGUUAAAUCGCUAAACUUUAAUGAGAAACCUCCCCAAAUCCACUUAACAAAAUAUGAUAGUGUGUAUUUAAAUUCUACCGCAGGCCUUUGAACUUGAAUUUCUGGCGCAUAAGCUGUUUUUGCACAAUUCUCUUACACUGGUUCAAAAGUUGAAAUAGCAGUACCCCAAAUCAUUCUAUUUUGGUUGUAAAUUUACUACAUGAAAAUUGGAAACUGUGACUACGGGAUCUCUGUCUAGGUAAAGCCAACGAAAUAUUGUGGGAAAAUUGACUCCAUAGCACUAUGGGAUGUAAUGGCUAGGAGACAAGACUUAUGGCAGAAUGACAAAUAAAAUCAUUGAAAAUAAUCCUUACUUCAAGUGAUCAUGCAUAUGGCGGAUGGAGGGAGAGUAUGUAUAACGUAUUUGUUGACCAAUUAUCUGUGCUGUGAAUUUUUGUGAAUCUGAAAAAUUGUCAAGAAUAUUUCGUAGCAGCUAAUCAUAAACUUUUACCAUCUAUUUGUGGAUGUGUGCUAUAGUUUCUCAGUUAAGUUGAAGGGAAGAUAACCUUGCCGGAGAAUUGCAGAGGACAGUUUAUGUGGUUUACUUGCUAGUUCAGCAAUGAAUACUGUGAAAAUCAAGUAAAAGGACGGGAAAUGGUUGCACAAAGGUUUUUUUCCGUUGAUGCGCAAAGGUUGAAUAACUUGGAAUCUGUCUCCCACUUCACUGAAAAAUAGAAGAAAGAAAAACUACAGUACAAGUUUUAACAGCUUAGACCACGGGUAGAGCUGAAAAUUCCAAAUGCUAAUUGUGUCAAGGUGCACAUGACAAACAUUUAGAUUUUUGUUGCAAAAUCUAUUUGUUGUCUCCGUUUGUUUUUGAAGUACUCUUUUUCGUUUGAACUCGAUAAUUCCAUUCAAAGUGUCAGUUGCUGACGGCUAUUUCAGGAACUGUCGUUGUGGUCCAUAGAUUACACGAUUUUCGUACUCAUUAGAAACAGAUAAGUUCCAUCCCGUUCGUUGACAAAAAUAGGAAAGCUGGAUCUUUUUAAUUUUUAUGAAAAUAAAGCAAAGUCAUCUAUCACCCUUUUCAAGUGACAAAAGGGUAAUCAUACAAAGAUUUAUUCUGUCUUGCAGAGACUAGGCAGAUGGAAUAGUCCAUAUGUUUUCUAUCGAAGGAGUUUCACUUAAAUAAGAAGAUGGAUCACAGUCAAGGAAUGAACAUAUAAAUGACAGGGGAUCUUGGAAAGCAUUAAUGAGAGAUCAACUGAUCUAAGGAUCUGAGCUUCCAUGGUUAACGUCAGCAGCUGCUCAAGACUUCAUAAUUUGCAAGCUUUCAUGUUCUACUUAAAUAGAUAAUCUGUAUCAUUACUGACCUGAAAAACAAUGUUGUGCUGACAGUAUGGACCUGAGAAUGACAUUGGUCCGACAAGGAAUACAUAUUGAGAUGGGACGAUCAUCGUUGAAGCUUCCACUUUACAAGCUGCUGCCCAUGCAUCUUGAAAUGCCUGUUUUUGAAUCACAAGAAUUAAAGAUUUCAUGGUUAGUAAAGUAAAUAUAUGCAUUUCACCUUCUAUUUUAUUUUUGAAAUCAGGUUAUUAAUAUGUACUAUCAGAUAUUCAUAACAUAUUCAGUUGUAAGUUAGUGUGAACUACCCUAACGAGAAUCAUUUUAGUGGGAGCCACCUCAUUUUUCUC